Ipomoea nil (Japanese morning glory) is the source of this 259-nucleotide long non-coding RNA. RefSeq lists it as uncharacterized. The record is from RefSeq and is a predicted model, not a curated record. The transcript has 2 exons. NCBI's taxonomy places the organism in Eukaryota, Viridiplantae, Streptophyta, Magnoliopsida, Solanales, Convolvulaceae.
UGAUCAGAGUUAAUGAGAUUCAGAAGUUUUUGGACAUCUCUUCGGUUCAGACCUACAUUAUCAACAGCACUAAAGUUGUGUUCUUGAAUGAACGGCCGCAGCCCAGGUCGGGAAAGGGCGUCACCAAUACCUGUGAGGUCUGUGAGCGCAGCCUCCUUGAUUCCUUUCGCUUCUGCUCUCUCGGCUGCAAGAUUGUUGGGACAUCCAAGAACUUCGUGAAGAAGCCGAAGCACUUCUCGGAGAAGAAGAGGGCGGCGGC